CCUACGGGAGGCUGCAGUGGGGAAUAUUGGGCAAUGGGCGCAAGCCUGACCCAGCAACGCCGCGUGAAGGAAGAAGGCUUUCGGGUUGUAAACUUCUUUUCUCAGGGACGAAGAAAGUGACGGUACCUGAGUAAUAAGCCACGGCUAACUACGUGCCAGCAGCCGCGGUAAUACGUAGGUGGCAAGCGUUAUCCGGAUUUAUUGGGUGUAAAGGGCGUGUAGGCGGGAGCGGAAGUCAGAUGUGAAAACUCAGGGCUCAACCCUGAGCCUGCAUUUGAAACUGUGUUUCGUGAGUGCAGGAGAGGCAAUCGGAAUUCGGGGUGUAGCGGUGAAAUGCGUAGAUAGACGGAGGAACACCAGUGGCGAAGGCGGAUUGCUGGACAGUAACUGACGCUGAGGCGCGAAAGCGUGGGGAGCAAACAGGAUUAGAUACCCGGGUAGUC
This 443-nucleotide ribosomal RNA is filed under the name uncultured bacterium. RNAcentral's name for it is "partial 16S ribosomal RNA". It matches the Rfam family "Bacterial small subunit ribosomal RNA", at positions 338 to 795 of the family's 1533-position model. The record is from RNAcentral.